RNAcentral lists this ribosomal RNA (119 nucleotides) under Eucalyptus grandis. Lineage: Eukaryota; Viridiplantae; Streptophyta; Magnoliopsida; Myrtales; Myrtaceae. The record is from RNAcentral.
GGGUGCGAUCAUACCAGCACUAAUGCACCGGAUCCCAUCAGAACUCCGAAGUUAAGCGUGCUUGGGCGAGAGUAGUACUAGGAUGGGUGACCUCCUGGGAAGUCCUCGUGUUGCACCCA